GGAGAGUUGGCCGAGUUGGUCUAAGGCGCACGAUUCGAAAUCGUGUGAGGGUGAAACCUCCGAGGGUUCGAAUCCCUUGCUCUCCG
This 86-nucleotide transfer RNA is filed under the name Pseudomonadota bacterium. Its description in RNAcentral is "Proteobacteria bacterium tRNA-Ser". It matches the Rfam family "tRNA". Rfam says of the family: Transfer RNA (tRNA) molecules are approximately 80 nucleotides in length. Their secondary structure includes four short double-helical elements and three loops (D, anti-codon, and T loops). Further hydrogen bonds mediate the characteristic L-shaped molecular structure. tRNAs have two regions of fundamental functional importance: the anti-codon, which is responsible for specific mRNA codon recognition, and the 3' end, to which the tRNAs corresponding amino acid is attached (by aminoacyl-tRNA synthetases). tRNAs cope with the degeneracy of the genetic code in two manners: having more than one tRNA (with a specific anti-codon) for a particular amino acid; and 'wobble' base-pairing, i.e. permitting non-standard base-pairing at the 3rd anti-codon position. The record is from RNAcentral. RNAcentral also lists the same sequence under 1 other name. Lineage: Bacteria; Pseudomonadati; Pseudomonadota.